GCCAGCGUAGCUCAGUAGGUAGAGCACUUGACUUGUAAUCAUGAGGUCACCGGUUCGAUUCCGGUCGCUGGCUCCA
RNAcentral lists this transfer RNA (76 nucleotides) under Oligosphaera ethanolica. RNAcentral describes it as "tRNA-Thr". It matches the Rfam family "tRNA". From Rfam's summary of the family: Transfer RNA (tRNA) molecules are approximately 80 nucleotides in length. Their secondary structure includes four short double-helical elements and three loops (D, anti-codon, and T loops). RNAcentral also lists the same sequence under 3 other names. Lineage: Bacteria; Pseudomonadati; Lentisphaerota; Oligosphaeria; Oligosphaerales; Oligosphaeraceae. The record is from RNAcentral.